Molecule: long non-coding RNA, 1159 nt
Filed under: Salmo salar (Atlantic salmon)
Lineage: Eukaryota; Metazoa; Chordata; Actinopteri; Salmoniformes; Salmonidae
Description: lncRNA (ENSSSAG00000121890.1)
Source: RNAcentral
CUUCCCCUCUCUCUCUCUCUCCCGUCCAUCCACCCUCUUCCACCUUUACUUUUUCUCUCUCUCUCUCUUUGACAGGCCUAUCCUUUAGUCAACCUCCGUGGGGAGUUUCUCCUCUGUUUGUUCUCUUGGAUGAUAAUUGCAAGUAAAACCAUAUCAAGAGGAGUUUUGGCAACAAGAAAGAACAGACACUGAAUCCUUCUAGAGAGGAGCUACAGCCGAGGCGAGGCAUAGGGAGAAGACAGACGGACACAUUUAUGAGCGUGUGUGACCUACUAUAUCUAUGGACUAGUUGGCCCACAGUGCAGCUGGAGCCUUCAAACUGUUAACUGACACACCACCACUCCUUGGGACGUCUAUGGAUGGACUGAAUCCACGUUUACAAGGACGGAUCUUCUCUAGCUCCUCCCCUGACCUCUAACCUCUGACACUCUGCAUGCACAGAGGUACACGGCUGUGAUUGGACAGCAGUUCCUGUGAGCUCCAUGUGACCUUGAACUUUGACCUUGGCUGACCCCUUCUUGUCUUGUCAGAUUGGCUGUGGCCAACCCUGCCCCCUUUUUUUCCUCCAGGUCCCCUCCCCCUCUGCCUGACGGACAGCUACCCUACCGAUUCCGUUGCUACGACGACACUGAGCUUUAUCAAGAGCCCGUCACAGCCUUUACAGGAAGUGGACAGACGAGAGUUGAGGUCAGGUGACCAUGCCUCAUUUCCUCUUUCUGUUGUUGACUUCCUGUUGGAAUUGGAAGAUAAAAAGGAAAGGACUACAGACAAACAUCACUGUGUGUUUUAUCUAAUAGUCCCAACAAUAUUCUGACAAAGCCAUACUAUAUUUGUUAUGGAAAAUAAUAUACAAUCAAACAAAAUGGAAGUAGAGUGUGGGGGGGGGCUCUCUUUUUAACAUCCAGUAAUAAGUUGAUAUAUCUGCAUCUCUUUAUUAAAUAUCUCCGACAUACAGGACCCUCAUAUCAAUAGAAUUACCCUCUCUCUCUCUCGCUCUCUCGCUCUCUCGCUCUCUCUGUCUCUCUCUCUCUCUCUCUCUCUCUCUCUCUCUCUCUCUCUCUCUCUCUCUCUCUCUCUCUCUCUCUCUCUCUCUCUCUCUCUCUCUCUCUCUCUGUGUCUCUCUCUCUCUCUCUCUCUCUCUGUCUCUCAUUCAUAUAUA